AGCUUCAGUAGCGUAUAUUAAAGUUGUUGCAGUUAAAAAGCUCGUAGUCGCAUUUCUGGCGAGAGGAUCCGGUCCGACCUUUUGGUGGGUUCUUGGGUCUCUUUCGCCAUCCUUGAGUGGUCCGUUCUGGCAUUAGGUUGUCGGAGCGUCAGCCGCUCAUCGUUUACUGUGAGAAAAUUAGAGUGUUCAAAGCAGGCUUAUGCCGUUGAAUAUAUUAGCAUGGAAUAAUAAGAUAGGACCUCGGUACUAUUUUGUUGGUUUGCGCGCCAAGGUAAUGAUGAACAGGGACAGUUGGGAGUAUUUGUAUUUCGUUGUCAGAGGUGAAAUUCUUAGAUUUACGAAAGACAAACUACUGCGAAAGCAUUUACCAAGGAUGUUUUCA
This 382-nucleotide ribosomal RNA is filed under the name uncultured marine Chaetocerotaceae. RNAcentral describes it as "SSU rRNA". It matches the Rfam family "Eukaryotic small subunit ribosomal RNA", at positions 587 to 972 of the family's 1831-position model. Lineage: Eukaryota; Bacillariophyta; Thalassiosirophyceae; Chaetocerotales; Chaetocerotaceae. The record is from RNAcentral.